Molecule: ribosomal RNA, 393 nt
Filed under: uncultured bacterium
Lineage: Bacteria
Description: partial 16S ribosomal RNA
Rfam family: Bacterial small subunit ribosomal RNA
Source: RNAcentral
AUACGGAAGGUCCGGGCGUUAUCCGGAUUUAUUGGGUUUAAAGGGAGCGCAGGCGGAGAUGCAAGCGUGACGUCAAAUUUCGGGGCUCAACCCCGUCUCGCGUCGCGAACUGCGUCCCUUGGUUGCGGGAAGGGGAGGCGGAACUCGUGGUGGAGCGGUGAAAUGCAUAGAUAUCACGAAGAACUCCGAUCGCGAAGGCAGCCUUCCGGCCCGUCAACGACGCUCAUGCUCGAAGGUGCGGGUAUCAAACAGGAUUAGAUACCCUGGUAGUCCGCACAGUAAACGAUGGACACCCGCGGUUUGGCCUAUAUGGCUGAGCCGCCAAGCGAAAGCGUUAAGUGUCCCACCUGGGGAGUACGCCGGCAACGGUGAAACUCAAAGGAAUUGGCGGGG